GCCUUUGAUGAUUUUAUCCAAACUGUUUGAGGUGUUGUGGAGCCAAGAUCCUGAUUUUCAGGGUGAACCUACUUGGUGAAACUACAUUCAUAUGACGUGACUGGAUUUACUGAGGC
Molecule: small nucleolar RNA, 116 nt
Organism: Lupinus angustifolius (narrow-leaved blue lupine)
Lineage: Eukaryota; Viridiplantae; Streptophyta; Magnoliopsida; Fabales; Fabaceae
Rfam family: Small nucleolar RNA Z278
About the family: snoZ278 is a C/D box small nucleolar RNA.
Source: Rfam